CCUACGGGAGGCUGCAGUGGGGAAUAUUGCACAAUGGGGGAAACCCUGAUGCAGCGACGCCGCGUGAGCGAAGAAGUAUUUCGGUAUGUAAAGCUCUAUCAGCAGGGAAGAAAAUGACGGUACCUGAGUAAGAAGCUCCGGCUAAAUACGUGCAAGCUGCCGCGGUAAUAAGUAGGGAGCAAGCGUUAUCCGGAUUUAGUGGGCGUAAAGGGAGCGUAGGCGGCCUGACAAGUCUGAUGGGAAAUACCGGGGCUCCACCCCGGGGAUGCAUUGGAAAUUGGGAGGCUGAAGUGCCGGAGAGGCAGGCGGAAGUCGUAGUGGAGCGGUGAAAUGCGGAGAUAUUAGGAGGAACACCAGUGGCGAAGGCGGCCUGCUGGACGGUGACUGACGCUGAGGCUCGAAAGCGUGGGGAGCAAACAGGAUUAGAUACCCGAGUAGUC
Molecule: ribosomal RNA, 440 nt
Filed under: uncultured bacterium
Lineage: Bacteria
Description: partial 16S ribosomal RNA
Rfam family: Bacterial small subunit ribosomal RNA
Source: RNAcentral